AGCGAACGCUGGCGGCAGGCUUAACACAUGCAAGUCGAACGCCCCGCAAGGGGAGUGGCAGACGGGUGAGUAACACGUGGGAACGUACCCUUUGGUUCGGAAUAACUUGGGGAAACUCAAGCUAAUACCGGAUAAGCCCUUAUGGGGAAAGGUUUACUGCCGAAGGAUCGGCCCGCGUCGGAUUAGCUAGUUGGGGAGGUAAUGGCUCAACAAGGCGAUGAUCAGUAGCUGGUCUGAGAGGAUGAUCAGCCACACUCGGGACUGAGACACGGCCCAGACUCCUACGGGAGGCAGCAGUGGGGAAUAUUGGACAAUGGGGGCAACCCUGAUCCAGCCAUGCCGCGUGAGUGAUGAAGGCCUUAGGGUUGUAAAGCUCUUUUACCCGGGACGAUAAUGACUGUACCGGGAGAAUAAGCCCCGGCUAACUUCGUGCCAGCAGCCGCCGUAA
RNAcentral lists this ribosomal RNA (448 nucleotides) under uncultured bacterium. Its description in RNAcentral is "partial 16S ribosomal RNA". It matches the Rfam family "Bacterial small subunit ribosomal RNA", at positions 29 to 523 of the family's 1533-position model. The record is from RNAcentral.